UGGGAAACUGCCUGAUGGAGGGGGAUAACUUCUGGAAACGGUAGCUAAUACCGCAUAACGUCGCAAGACCAAAGAGGGGGACCUUCGGGCCUCUUGCCAUCGGAUGUGCCCAGAUGGGAUUAGCUAGUAGGUGGGGUAACGGCUCACCUAGGUGA
Molecule: ribosomal RNA, 155 nt
Filed under: Escherichia coli
Lineage: Bacteria; Pseudomonadati; Pseudomonadota; Gammaproteobacteria; Enterobacterales; Enterobacteriaceae
Description: partial 16S ribosomal RNA
Rfam family: Bacterial small subunit ribosomal RNA
Source: RNAcentral